This 292-nucleotide ribosomal RNA is filed under the name uncultured bacterium. RNAcentral's name for it is "partial 16S ribosomal RNA". It matches the Rfam family "Bacterial small subunit ribosomal RNA", at positions 505 to 796 of the family's 1533-position model. The record is from RNAcentral.
GUGUCAGCAGCCGCGGUAAUACGGAGGGUGCGAGCGUUGUUCGGAUUUAUUGGGCGUAAAGGGCGUGCAGGCGGUUUCUUAAGUCUGAUGUGAAAGCCCCGGGCUUACCCCGGGAAGUGCAUUGGAAACUGGGAGACUUGAGUACGGGAGAGGAGAGUGGAAUUCCUGGAGUAGGGGUGAAAUCCGCAGAUAUCAGGAGGAACACCGGUGGCGAAGGCGGCUCUCUGGACCGAUACUGACGCUGAGACGCGAAAGCGUGGGGAGCAAACAGGAUUAGAUACCCGAGUAGUCC